Acanthaster planci (crown-of-thorns starfish) is the source of this 4236-nucleotide long non-coding RNA. Lineage: Eukaryota; Metazoa; Echinodermata; Asteroidea; Valvatida; Acanthasteridae. The record is from RefSeq and is a predicted model, not a curated record.
AGUGAGAAAGCAUCUAUGCUUGUCUACUGACACCAUUGUGCUGUCAUGGGAGGGAGUCAGCAGAUAGACCACGCCCACCCAUUCCACUUUGUCACUCAUCUGGUGGUCACUAAAGGACACCAUUCAGGUUGAUGUGGUGUGCUGAUGAACAGUUGACCGAUGGAGCAGGAAAUUCAUUAAGGCUGUAAAGAGAUGGAUUUUUUCCACCAUGCAGCACCACUGGCAGAACCAGUUGUGACACCGCUCCCUGUUUUUUCCCCGGUUUGGUAGAUGAUAAAGUGGGGCGUCUGCUGUCCACAACCUUUUCUGAUAGUUCUCACAAGACAUACGCUUCUGGCUGCAUGUCCUUGUGCAGCACAACCCUGACGGAAGAGCGGAAUGCGCAUCGUGGAGACAAACUUGAGUUUCUUCUGUAUCUGCCCCAGUAACUGGAUCGGAAGAACCUGUACAUAAGAGGAGCUACUGUCAGCACGUGGCAUGAUCUGUAUCGUUCAUGGGCACAUGGGUGGCUGGGUAGACCAGCCACUGAGUACCUGGAAGCCAUAUGGGCAAUGCUGACGUGGAAACUCUUGCAGGUUAUCACUACAAAGAAACUCACCCACGACUGUACCUUUCACAGCAUGCAUUGGACUUCAUGGGCGAAUGAUUGCACCGUCUCUUCCAGGGCAGGUCCUUGAAGGAACUGAUCAUCAGUUACAUUAUUGGUGAAGUCCACUUUUCACUUAUAAUGGAGCACCCAACGAUACGUCCGAAAAGUGACAAGUGUUACCUAUGACUUAUGCAGUAGUAAAGAGCCUACAUUUGGCUCACGCAGAGAGGGUUUCUUGAAUAUUCAAAUCCAGUAACAAUCAAAGCACAGUGGCCACAUAAUUAUGCGUGUCCUUUUCCCCCCAAUUUUUUGUUCACUUCUUCUUUGAUUGUGGGAGAUUAGGCUGGUUCCGGAUGUAUGCGUAGUUGUCAAGGAUGUUGUCAAGACACCAACUUUGCCUGUUACUCCUGGUUGAUACAACACUUAUCUUUGGGAAUCGUCAGGUUACCUGAAGCCUGCCCUGGGAAUGCAACCCAGCAGCCUAAUCAGUGUGAUGGCGCUUCCGAUGUGGAGGGUGCUGAUAUGGGGUGCUUGCUAUUGCUUAAGUCUUGCAAUUUUGUUCACAUUUAUCUUCCUUAACAUCCGUUAAAAAAAUGAUUAAAGGUCUUUCACACAAGCACUGAAAAUACGGGUCCUGUGUGGUUAAAUUGCUUCAAAAUGCAUGGAUAUUGUGUCUCUUGAAAGUGCAUCCCUGUCUCAAAAUCACACAGGUCCAGCCUGUUUUCUGCAUGGAUCGAGACCUCAUUUAUAAUCAUCAGUGCAUUACCCAUGCAAGUAUCACUCGGUAAAGCAUGCCAUUAUCCUGAGGAUACUUUGUGUUGACGUCCAUUUUGCUGUUGCCAUCGUGCAGAAUAGCAGUUCCCAAAAAUAUACCUCAGUCAUAGCCUUGCUGCCAUCUGGUUCUACACACGUAUUACUAUUGUCACUAUUGUGUUUCCAUAUUUUGCAGGGGUCGAAACGAGACUUGUGAAGUUGGAGCCUUUCCCUUACAACAAUUAUCCUCUGGAGUUACAAAUGAAAAAAAUGAUGAAUUAGUGUGUACAGUGAAAUUUCUGACUUUCUCUUUUGAAAGAUUUUUGUAGAGCCACAAUCAUUGAUUUUUGCACAAAUUAAUGUUCUUGCAUAAAAAAAGCAUGUGUAUGGGUGGGAAAAUUGCUGUUACCCUCCAUUUCCGUCAUAUUGCUAUAUCAGCGAUACAGGUGAAAAUGUGGCAAAACCAGGAAUGUUUACCAACGUACGUGUGAAAGCCUUUGAUGAAAUUGCAGGUAUCCUUUGCAUUGAUCAGACACCAUGCACCAACCUUUGCAGGUGUGAAUUUCCUGUGGUUGUGCCAAAGAGCCCUCAAUCGCUUUCACAUUUUCCCAAUGCAUAUGUCGUCACCAUUCUCAGGAAGUGACACUAAUGUCCAAAAAUGAAUUUUUAUCGAUUUCCACUUUUUCAAUAUUCUCUUUUACAAUAUCGUGCUUGACCAUUUUGACAUGCUCCCACAAACAAAACAUUAUUGAUGUCAUAGUUACGUUAAUGUUUUUGGGGUUAAGCCUUUUGCAGUUCCACAAAAAGACGUAAUGCUUAACGUCCUUUGAACAUGUACAAAAUGUAUUGCAAGGAAAUGGUUGAAAAGUAGGUCAACCGGGAUGUUCGUUUUCACAAAGUGACGUAAAUUCACAGUUGUGCGCGCGUAAAGAUACGAUCACCUUCCCUGUGAUUAUUAUACAUUGAACAGAAGGACGUUUAUGUACAAAGACGUCAAUUUUGUUUUCACAAAGUGACGCUAACCUUUGCUAAUUAAUUUUGGCUAAUUAACCCUUGUUUUCAUACUCGGGUCAAGUGAACGAUUACACAUCAGAGAAUCAUUUAAGGGAUUUUUGUUACAUGAAGUUGUCACAAAAUACUUAUUUUGGUAGUUUUUAUAAAGCUCCGGUGAUCAUCUUGAAAACCUGUCCUCAAAAGCCACAUUAGCAACACUUCGUGGUGGCGGUGACAAUUUGUGCAUUAUAUUUGAAAGAAAGAAAUGAGAAAGUGGUUCUUUGUCAUACACUUCUCUUAAUUACAAAUUUGUGUUUUGGUCAGUUUCAUUUGUAUUUAUGAUGUCUAACAUUAUAUCUUUAGGGUGUAUCAAAAAUACAAAAUAGAAAUACAUGAUGUGAUAGAUUGGUACACUGAACUUCUGAAGCUGGACUCUCCAAGUAUGGUUGCAUCCAAAAGCGUUUGAGUUUUCAAUUGAUACUGUAAUUGCAUCUCUGUAAUCGGAUAAAUAAAAACUUUAGCUUGUUAUAAUGAUAAGUAAACACCUGUUUCCAGUGUGGAUUAAAUGUAUCCCAGUCAAAAGCACCUAAAAUGUUCCCUCAGUUGGUGCUGUGCCUAAGCUCAAGCAACUUGUACAACUGGGCUACGGUGUCUUGAGACGUCUGUGCUGGUUACAGGACAGAGCCUCAGGUCAUUGUCUUAUUGCAGUCCAAAGAAGGUAGAGUGAUUUCCCCUCAAUGAUGCAGUGGAAUGGCCUCCUGGGUCAUCUGGUCUUAGACCCAGUGAUUAUUUUCCUUUAUUUAUGUAUACGAACAUCAUGAUGUUGUUGUGUUGUGAUUCCGUAUUCUAAAUAAAAAUCAAGGUCAUGUGCAACAACCUAGCAGUGGUGUGACAAGCAGUCCAAGAAAUGCACCACUGCUGUGAAAUUUAUUGUAAAUAGGGAACAUAGACAUGUUGGUGAAUGUAGAGGUGAGUCAUUAUCCUUUUUUUUCUGAAUAAAUAGUUAAUUCCAAAGAAAGCUUGUUAAUUUUAUUCGCAAAUCCAGUGCCAGAAUGUGUAGAAAGCUCAGAGGACCAUCAGCCCAAUUUGAGAAAAGGACGGUUUUAUGUAUUGAUCUGUAAAACAAUGUUGCUUAAUCCUCCAUAAUGGCAGAGAUGCAAGUCAGGCAUCAACAGCAAACUUCUAAACUAACGGUAUUCUUUCAGAUGCAACCAUACAGUGUUUAGCAUCAUACUUUUGAUGUACUAAUGUGUUGUAGUAGUGGAUUGGAUUUAUUUUUACAUACAUUCUGUCUAAUGAUUUUUUAAACUAACUGGUGAUGGGUCUUUCCUUAUUUUAAGCAGCACACAGUUUCAUUAGGAGUACACGUAACUAACUAAAGUUGUGAAACCUUUAUUUCGAUACACAGUAUUAUUUUGGGCAAAAAAAUGGUGAAGGAGUUUAUUUACCAGCACCAAAUGCACGUUCUGUUAACAUCUAGCUGCAUGUAUAUUUUGUGUACAUCUUCAGAAGGUAUGCACAAGAAGGAGCUGGAAACGUAAACUUUGGGUGUGGACAGAUUUGGGGCACACCUUUGUUUGAAAGGGGGACAGUUAAUUUUUUUUUUUGGGGGGGAGGGGUGGACCCAUAAAUUUUAAUUUUUUGUCACGCAAUGUUUAAUGGCCUUUCUAAAAUAUACUAUUAGAAGGAAGGAAAAUAAAACGGACCCCCAAUGUUUUUCUCUCAAUUAAUAAAAUGCCUCUUUUUCCUCCGCCCUCACCUUUGGUAGGUCUAUAAUAAGGCUAAAAUAGUUGUUUUAUUUUCUGUCUUUUUUAUUUCAUUGACUUGCCCUUGACCCACACCAGCAACAUAUUUCGUGAAGAAUAUGUCAAUAAAAGGUAUUCUAACUGUAGUCUCUGUCA